GGAAUCGAUCUCGGAAUCGAGCUCGGAAUCGAGCUCGGAAUCGAGCUCGGAAUCGAGCUCGGAUUCGAGCUCGGAAUCGAGCUCGGAUUUGAGCUCGGAA
Molecule: non-coding RNA, 100 nt
Organism: Paramuricea clavata
Lineage: Eukaryota; Metazoa; Cnidaria; Anthozoa; Malacalcyonacea; Plexauridae
Source: the annotation of a GenBank genome assembly